GGUCCCAUCGUCUAGCGGUUAGGAUACCGGCCUCUCACGCCGGAGACACGGGUUCGAUCCCCGUUGGGACUACCA
This 75-nucleotide transfer RNA is filed under the name Candidatus Zymogenus saltonus. RNAcentral's name for it is "tRNA-Glu". It matches the Rfam family "tRNA". From Rfam's summary of the family: Transfer RNA (tRNA) molecules are approximately 80 nucleotides in length. Their secondary structure includes four short double-helical elements and three loops (D, anti-codon, and T loops). RNAcentral also lists the same sequence under 1 other name. The record is from RNAcentral. Lineage: Bacteria; Deltaproteobacteria; Candidatus Zymogeniales; Candidatus Zymogenaceae.